RNAcentral lists this ribosomal RNA (443 nucleotides) under Mimetus sp. GH1407. Its description in RNAcentral is "partial 16S ribosomal RNA". The record is from RNAcentral. Lineage: Eukaryota; Metazoa; Arthropoda; Arachnida; Araneae; Mimetidae.
UUUUUAAAGAACUAAUUUUAAGUAAAAUUUGCUCAAUGUAUUCAUAAAUAGCCGCAGAAUAUUUACUGUGCUAAGGUAGCAUAAUCAUUAGUUUCCUAAUUAGGAACUAGAAUGAAAGAUUUUUCAUAAAAUUUCUUUUUUAACUUUUUUAAUAAAACUUUUAUUAAAAAUAAAAUAUUUUUAUAAAAAAAAAAGACGACAAGACCCUAUCGAACUUAACUUUAGUUAAGCUGGGGAAGCUAUUUAAACAAAAUUUUAAAUGAAUUAUUUAUAUAAUUGACCUAAUCAUAUUAAUUUAGUGACCAAGUUACCGUAGGGAUAACAGCGUAAUAAAUUUUUUAACUCUUAUAAAAAAAAAAGAUUACGACCUCGAUGUUGAAUUAAAAUUUCUCCCUAGCGCAAUAGCUAUAAAAGAAGGUCUGUUCGACCUUUAAAUUUUUACA